This 203-nucleotide long non-coding RNA is filed under the name Capsicum annuum. Its description in RNAcentral is "long non-coding RNA (CANN_LNC020261)". Lineage: Eukaryota; Viridiplantae; Streptophyta; Magnoliopsida; Solanales; Solanaceae. The record is from RNAcentral.
UGAUAGUCAAGCAUUUAGUAGCAUAGUCUAUGUUCUGUACAUGGGUAAAUGGUUGAUAAUAGGAUCUGCUAAGACAAAUAUGGAGCAAUGAAGGACCAACCAGAUCUCUUUCGAAUUUUUUUGAACCUUAAUCAAGAAAGUUGGUGAAAUCAAGGAUAUGUUGUCAACUCUAGAGGGAAACAUUGAUAUUUUCAGGAAAAGGG